AUAUUUAUACCAAACGUCUGCGUUGCCUCCUCCCUGGGCCUUCGGCUUGUAAUUCCAUGCAAAUCUGGUGACACUGCCUUGUUGCCCAGCGGGCUGUCCGGCGGUGGGCGGGCUUCUGCCUCGGUGCGUGCUUGAAGUCGGGGUUUGGGGAGUCUCUGUAGGAAGCCGCGUCUGCGGGAAGGGAAAUGGGAGUGUCUGCUUCCCAACGUGUGGCCACUUUGCUUCCCCUCUGCAGGGAGAAGCCGCCCACAGCCUGGAGCUCCUCUUUGUCACCUGCACUUGACUCCACAGGGACGCGUAUUUCCAGACGCGAAGGCCUGGGGUUGCCAGAUGCUGGGCACCAUAAGAAUUAAUGGGCUGGAGACUCAGGUAAGGGCCAUUCAAAAGCUCCCUGAUUACUCCAAAAACCGCUCUCCACGGAGGAAAAGGUUAAUCGAAGCCCGGAGCUGGAAGAGAAGCGAGUCUACGGCAAUUGCUUUAUCCCCAGGGGAGUGGGGGAAAGAGCUUCGGGAGAGACAAGUUUGCACAGAGGAGGUUGUGGUCGGCCUGGGAGAAAGGAACCAGGCCUCAAAAUCGAGUUAUUUGCAAAGCCUGCUCCACUGGUCCAGGGGCCUUGGCCAGUUCCUCUCUGAACCAGAGCCAAGUAGCUACGUUUUCAUCUUUUUCUCACCACUGCAUAUUCUCUGCACUGUUGAGCCAUAAAUCUCUCAGGAAACCAUC
Molecule: long non-coding RNA, 720 nt
Organism: Leptonychotes weddellii (Weddell seal)
Lineage: Eukaryota; Metazoa; Chordata; Mammalia; Carnivora; Phocidae
Source: RefSeq, a predicted model, not a curated record